UCCUAUCAUUGAUCUAGAUUGCAAAUUACAAAACACUUAUGGGGUUUUUGUUAAUUUUAAUAAUAGUUCUGCUUCAAACAUGCUUCAAAAGGUCAUUAUUUUUAAAAAAAACAAUAGCAGCGUCAUUGUAAUAAAAACCAGCAAACAGGUAGUAUGGGUCUGAAGUAUUGUUAUUUAAAAUAAAAAUAAGCAAUAUAAUAACAAAUGGAAGCAGAAUUUGCCAAGCAUUGGAUUGUUCACCCACUAAUAGGGAAUGUGAGCUGGGUUUAGACUGUUGUGAGACAGGUUAGUUUUACCCUACUGAUGGUAAACAUAGUUAACAGACAUUUCAUCAUCAUAGUAAUCCAACUCAGUAUGAGAGGAACAGUUGAUUCAGAUAAUUGGUAUUUUCCCUUGGCUGAAAGGCCAGUGGGGAGAACCUACCAUCUGUAGGAUUAUGGCUGAACGCCUCUAAGCCAGAAUCUGUGCUAGCAUAACAAUGAUAUGUGCCCCUGCUGACUCUAAGUGAGCAACAAUAGGUCACUAUUCACUUAGUGACUGUGCACCAUAGAAUCUGGGUAGUGGAAUGUGCAGGCAGUGAGUCAUCUCCACCCAGCCACAAGCUGAACAUGUUGACAUAUCAUCCACAGAUGGAUGGUCUGGUGGAGAGGUUUAAUUUGAUGCUGCAAGGCAUGCUCAGCAUGUACAUCACUGAUAACCAGCAUGACUGGGACACCUACUUGCCCUAUG
Molecule: ribosomal RNA, 729 nt
Filed under: Acanthamoeba polyphaga
Lineage: Eukaryota; Discosea; Longamoebia; Acanthamoebidae
Description: eukaryotic LSU rRNA
Rfam family: Eukaryotic large subunit ribosomal RNA (bases 1-638)
Source: RNAcentral